AGAAGAACAGGCCUAUGUGUGAUAAAAAAGAGGAAAAGGCCUGGAAGAAGUGGGUUUUGGAUUAUUUUUGCCAGUUUUGUGUCUCGAUGUGAGGACAUUUUAUAUACACCUCUCCCCUUCCUCUCCUCCAUCCUCCCAGCUGUGCUGCUGGGUCUCGCAGCACAUCAAAGUGGAAGGAUCUCAACGCCUGUCUCAGGAGACAUUGCACAGUUCAAAGUUCACAGACGUGAAUUGUGAAGAUUCUUCUAGAUGGAAAUAUCUCAGCUCAUAAUCCUCGAAAAAUCAGGUGGGGAAGGCAGUCUUCAGAGCAUUCACUCUGCCAUUCUCUGUGUCCGUCAUAGCAAUUUCUUCUCCAUGUUCAUGGAACACCUGUGGGCAGCACAGUUCCAGGCACUGGUUCUUUCAUUCCAUCAACACUGUUGGGGAGGCUACUUGGACCAGGCACUGUUCUAGGCAUUAUGGACAGAUCAUGAGUGAAAUGAAAGGAGUCCCAGACCCAGCUGGGUGGAGGUGACAGUGAUGAAGAAGUCACAUGUUGGUUGACAACUGCUGUGAACUGGCAACCGGCACCAUAGAAGGGACUGACUGGCAGCUGUACCUGACCUGAAUUUGGGGAGCUGUAAGGAAGGCCGCUGGGAUGGAGGGAUGGCCCAGUUUAUCCUGAGUAGAGCCCAUUCUUAGGAACCGCAAGAUAAAAUGGAAAAUGUCAUCUAGCCUGGAGAAAAAUGGACUCUCGCUCUUGGCCUCCCAAUAAUGGUCUGAUCCAAUCCACAUCCUCUGCAACCAUGUUUCUUCCUGCUUAGAAGAAAAGGGAUGAAAAGGACUUUUCUGCAGUCAGGCAGACCCGUGUCAACUGCGAGGUGAUCUCAGGUAGAUUGCAUGGCUUCUCUCAGUUUCGGUUUUCUUGUCAGGUAAAGAGACAGAUCAGAUGAAUGCAGUAAUUAUAAUCACCUGUGUUGGGCACUUGUUAUGUGCCUGUCACAGAUUUACAUGCAUCACCUCAUUUAAUCUUCGAAACAGGCUAGGCGUGGUGGCUCACACCUGUAAUCCCAGGACUUUGGGAGGCUGAGGCAUGUGGAUCAUUUGAGGUCAGGAGUUCAAGAUCAGCAUGGUCAACAUGGUGAAACCCCAUCUACUAAAAAUACAAAAAUUAGCUGGAUGUGGUGGCAGGCACCUGUAAUCCCAGCUACUCAGGAGGCUGAGGCAAGAGAAUUGCUUGAACCCUUGAACCUGGGAGGCUGAUAUGGCACCACUACACUCCAGCCUGGGCAACAGAGUGAGACUCUGUCUUAAAAAAAAAAAAUCUUUGAAACAACCCCUAUGAGUUUGGCAUUAUUCUCUAGGGGUGAGAUUGGGGCAAGGUAAGGGAGACAUUUGCCCCAUGCACAAAAUCUAAAGGGGUACCCCAAAAGCAAUAAUGAAGACAAUAUUUCAUUGUAAUUUUAAAAAUCGAAGUUAACGCAAAAAAAUUCAUAUUGAAUAGAUUGUCAACAUUUAAAAUCAAGACAUCAUCCCUCCCUGUACUUGCAGGACCUGGCCUCACUCAUUUUACCUUAAUCUGGCCCCAGCAUCACCCCCAAUUUGCAGAUGGAGACAUUAAGGCUCGGAGGCUUCCUUCCGCCUUGUACUUCAGGUCCUGCUAACUAUGUGGACAGGGCAGCCUGCCUUCCUCCUCCUCAAGACGUCACUCUGAGGGCCUCUGUUCACAGCCCCCACCCCCACAGGAGGGACAGGACAAUGCACAGUAAAGAGCACGUAAGUGGGGACAGCUGGCUAUUUCUGUUGUGACCGUCGUUACUGUUUAACAUGCAUUAAGAACCCACAGUGUACUUUGAAAUCAAAGGGUACCAGGAAGCGUCCUGGUAAACUUAGCUCUGUAGUCUUUCGGGGGCACCUGGCUGUACUUCACAGAGAAAUCAGAUAAAGCAAAGACAAG
Molecule: long non-coding RNA, 1936 nt
Organism: Callithrix jacchus (white-tufted-ear marmoset)
Lineage: Eukaryota; Metazoa; Chordata; Mammalia; Primates; Cebidae
Source: Ensembl